RNAcentral lists this small RNA (581 nucleotides) under Pan troglodytes (chimpanzee). Its description in RNAcentral is "retained intron". The record is from RNAcentral. Lineage: Eukaryota; Metazoa; Chordata; Mammalia; Primates; Hominidae.
GGAACCUGUAGGCAGCGCUUGAGGGUAGCGGGAUAGCAGCUGCAAGCGCGCGUGGGAGGCGGGGGCUCUGGGCGGAACAAAAAUCACAGGAUGUCAGAGGAUGUUUCCCGGGAAGAACUGGGAUAAAGGAAGGGUCCCAGCACCAUGGAGGACCCGAACCCUGAAGAGAACAUGAAGCAGCAGGAUUCACCCAAGGAGAGAAGUCCCCAGAGCCCAGGAGGCAACAUCUGUGAGUACACAUGGCUGGCGGGCUAGAGGAGGGUGGGGUGCAGGAGCUGAUGCUAAGAUCUCUGUGGCACUUCGGUGUCCAAGGCGCCACAGAGUUUUGCCUGUUGAGAAGGGGCUGUAAUGGUCCCUGAGCUGCUCUAGCAGGAAGUGCAUCUCCUCACACCAGCUUAUGUGGCCAGAGUACUCACCCUCCUCUGGCCACAUAAGCAGGAUUGCAAUGCUUAUGCAUUCAGAGGGAUAGGGUGGCUUCCAGGAGAGGCUUGGGUUGGAGAUGUGGCUGAGUAUGGUUCUAUUGGGAGAGAAACCCCAAGAUUCUGGUCCCAACUCUGCCCUAGACUUUCAGUGUAACUUGG